GGAAAUACGUCACUAGCUCGCUUUAUUUAAGGCCGAGCCUCGCUGCGCCCUGUCCUUUGUGCCGCAGUAUCGGUGAGUGAGCAGUGCGUUUUCUGGUUAUCAAGUUUUCCGGCCUACUGUCGCUGGGAUCCCGCCAUUAGAUUGCCAGCUCUGCGGCCCACUGCCCCGGGGAUCCCACCAUUAGAUUGCCAGCUCUGCGGCCCCACUGCCCCGGGGAUCCCACCAUUAGAUUGCCAGCUCUGCGGCUCCACUGCCCCGGGGAUCCCGCCAUUAGAUUGCCAGCUCUGCGGCCCACUGCCCCGGGGAUCCCAAUAUUAGAUUGCCAGCUCUGCUGCCCCCUGCCCCGGGGAUCCCAAUAUUAGAUUGCCAGCUCUGCGGCCCACUGCCCCGGGGAUCCCGCCAUUAGAUUGCCAGCUCUGCGGCCCACUGCCCCGGGGAUCCCGCCAUUAGAUUGCCAGCUCUGCGGCCCACUGCCCCGGGGAUCCCAAUAUUAGAUUUCCAGCUCUGCGGCCCACUGCCCCGGGGAUCCCAAUAUUAGAUUGCCAGCUCUGCGGCCCACUGCCCCGGGGAUCCCGCCAUUAGAUUGCCAGCUCUGCGGCCCACUGCCUGGUUGUCCCACCAUUAGAUUGCCAGCUUUUUGCGGCCCACUGCCCUGGGGAUUCCGCUAUCAGAUCACAAGCUCUGCAGCCUUUGCCAGCGUGUUUGUGUUGGCCUUUAGAGUGCAAGCUCUGUAGCCCAGCUCUGGGAUCUUAAUCUGAGUUGAUUACCAUGAUCCAAAGGGUAAAUUAAUUCUCUCACUUGAGCAUAAUAAACAUGGCAGCUGUUCACUUACAUGAUGAUUUCUAGUGCGUUAGACUUCUGAAUCUGAUGAAGUAACUAAAAAAUCUGAUGUCUGUUGCCUUGUGUGCUACUUAGUAGACCGAGCCCUAUAUUAUAACAAAUCACUAAUUCCUGACUUACUUUUCUCUUUCAGACCAGAAGAAACCACCAAGCUGCUAUGGACCUUAUGGGAUUACACUGAUCAGCCACAACAUUAAAACCACUGACAGGUGAAGUGAACAAGAUUGAGUAUAGCUGUACAACGGCACCUGUCUCAAGGGGUGGGAUGAAUUAGGCAGCAGAGAAGUCAGAUCUUGAAUUUUAUGUGUUGGAAGCAGAUAAAAUGGGCAAGGGAAAAGAUCUGAGUGACUUUGAGAAGGGCCAAAUAGUGAUGGCUAGACGAGUGGGUCAGAGCAUCUCCAAAACGGCUCAUCUUGUGGGGUGUUCCCGCUAUGCAGUGGUUAGUACCUACCAAAAGUGGUGCAAGGAAGGAGAACCAGUGAACCGGCGUCAGGGUCAUGGGCGUCCAAGGCUCAUUGAUGCACAGGAAGAGCAAAGGCUAGUCAGUCUGGUCGAAUCACACAGAAGAGCUACUGUAGCUCAAAUUGCUGAAAAACUUAAUGCUGACCAUGAUAGAAAGGUGUCAGAACACACAGUGCAUCGCAGCUUGCUGCGUAUGGGGCUGCGUUGUCGCAGACCGGUCAGUGCCAAUGAUGACCCCUGUCCACCACCACCCAAAGAGCCUUUACCGGAGACGUGAGCGUCCGAACUGGACCAUAGAAGAAUGUUGGCUGGUUUGAUAGUUUCUUUAGAUUAGUUGGAUGGCUGUGUCGUUUAUCUGGGGACAAGAAGGCAGCGGGAUGCAGUAUGGUGAGAAUACAGGCUGGUGUCUUCCUGUUAGAACUUAUUAUAAUAAAGGUAUAAUUUCACUGAUCUGAGUCCUGUUUCUUUAUUUACUCCAAGCACUGUCUUUGAACC
This 1797-nucleotide long non-coding RNA is filed under the name Pelobates cultripes (western spadefoot toad). The record is from RNAcentral. Lineage: Eukaryota; Metazoa; Chordata; Amphibia; Anura; Pelobatidae.